RNAcentral lists this long non-coding RNA (2751 nucleotides) under Homo sapiens (human). RNAcentral's name for it is "HSALNT0095997". The record is from RNAcentral. Lineage: Eukaryota; Metazoa; Chordata; Mammalia; Primates; Hominidae.
GCUCUGGCCACCCAAAUCCUGAACUGGAGUAAGUGAAUUGCAGAAAAGCUGUACCCCUUCAUCAGAGAAUAUUGUGGAGGAGAGGUCACAGACACACUUGGAAUGAAGUUUCAACUAGUUUUGAAUAAUUGAGAAGUAAUUUCCAUCAGCCCAACCCUCCUGCAGAUAACAUUUCCAAACUCUGGACAAAAUAUACAUGGUAUGAACCUGAAAACACUGGAAAGCGAACAAAAGCCAGCAGAAACUGAGCAGCAGUUCAUACCAGGAGAGCGAAGGGCACUGGAUGAGCUACCUACUUUUUAAGGCUUUUUCCUGAGGGCAGACCCCAACAGGCAGAGACUGGAUGCUAAAACUCAGAAAAACUUUUUAAUCUUGAUGGUUUCAGAACUAGAGGACACAGACUGGUGUUACCACAGGAGUAAGAAGGGAAAGAGGAAAUGUGGAAAUGAGAGAGCCACAGAGAAUGCUACGUUCUGCAUAAAAACAUUGUCUUAAUCUCUGGUUGAGCCUGAAAUAUGCCUAUGCAAGACUGAACCUAAGUUAACAGAUUGGAAAUUGAAACUGCUGCCUACUACUAGAAGAACAGAAUUUAGAGUCUGAGUUUAAACAAGUUUACUGCCUAUUAAAAUUAAAAAUCAAUACUAACAGAGGUUCAUAACAGAAUCCAGAUUCACUAAUAUGUCAUUCAUAAUAUUCUAGAUUCAAUACAAAUUUCUAGACAUAUGAAGAAACAGGAAACUGUUACCUACACUUGAAAGAAAAGCAGACUGACUCUGAGAUGACUCAAAUGUUAGAAUUAGUAGACAAAAAUUUCAAGCUACUAUUAUAACCAUGCUCAGGGAUAUAAGGAAAAAUAAUGGUCUCUGCCAGGCACAGUGGCUCAGACCUGUAAUCCCAGCACUUUGGGAGGCCGAGGCAGGCGGAUCACUUGAGGUCAGGAAUUCGAGAUCAGCCUGGGCAACAUAAUGAAACCCCAUCUCUACCAAAAAUUACAAAAUUAGCCUGGUGUGGUGGCACAUGAGUGUAAUCUCAGCUACUCGGGAGGCUGAGGCAGGAGAAUCCCUUGAACCUGGGAGGUGGAGGUGGUUGCAGUGAGCCAGAGAUCAUGCCAGUGCACUUAAGCCUGGGUGACAGAGUGAGAUGCUGCCACCAAAAAAAAAAAAAAAAAGAAAGAAAGGAAAUUAUCUUAAUAAACAAUCUCACAAAAGAAAAAUGAAUUAUGAAAAACUGGAAAUUCUAGAGGAGAAAAUUACAAUAUUGUAAAUAAAAUAUUGUUGGAUGAACUUAACAGCAGUUGGGAGAUGACAGAAGGAGCAGCCAGUGAAAACUUGAAGACAGAGCAAAAGAAAUAAUACACCCUGAAGAAAAGAGAGCAGAAAAGACUAAACAUAAUUAAAUACAACCUUUGUGACUUGUGGGACCACAUAAAAAAGAUAAGCAAAUAUGGCUAGGCAUGGUGGCUCAUGCCUGUAAUCCCAGCACUUUGAGAGACCAAGGUAGGAAGGUUGCUUGAGGCUAGGAAGUCAAGACCAAGACCAGCCUGACCAACAUAGCGAGACUCCUUUGCUACAAUUUUUUUUUUUUUUGUUAGCCAGAUGUGUUGGUAUGCACCUGCAGUCCCAACUUGGGAGGCUGAGACGGGAGGAUUGCUUGAAUCUGGGAGGUCAAGGCUGCAAUGAGCCAUGAUUGUGCCAAACUGGAAUCCCAGGAAAAAGGGACUGAUAGCUUGGAAGGGAAAAAAAUCUUUGAAGAAAUAAAUUUACAGAUUCAAAAAUCUUGCAUUUAGCCUGAGAAAAAUGGCAGAUUUCAUGGCAGAACAUUAUAAAUUUUCUCUGACAUCUCAUUAGAACUAAUAGGUGCCAGAAGAGAAUGGAACUAUAUCUUGAAAGUGCUAAAAGUAAAAUGAGAAAGGAGAGGGAAGAGGGGAAGGGGAGGGAAGGGGAGAGAAAGAAAGAGAGAAAGAGAGAAAGAGGGAGAAAGAGAGAAAGAAAGAGAAAGAAAGAAAGGAAGAAAGAAAGAGAAAAAGAAAGGAAAAAGAGAGAGAAAGGAAGGAAGGAAGGGAGAGAGAAAGGAAGGAAGGAAGGGAGAGAGAAAGAAAGGAAGAAAGAGAAAAAAAGGGGAAAGAAAGAAAAAAAGAAAAAUUAAACUUUUAAAUUUAAAAUUCUGUAUCCCGUAAAAUCAUCCUUUAAGAAUUAAGAUGAAACAGAGAUAUUUUCGGAUAAAAUAAAACUAGAGAAUUCAUCACCAGCAGACAAUACCAUAAGAAAUUCAAAAGUUCUCCAGGCUGAAGAUAAAUCACACCAGAUUGAAACAUGUUUCUUCUGUAAGAAAUGAAGAAUAUCAGAAAUGAUAAAUGUGUAGGUAAAUAUUUUUUAAAACAAUUUUUUUCUUAAUUUUCUUAAAAGACAUAUGGCUAUGUAAAGCAAAUGUUGUAAGAUUGAAUUGUGGGGCUUAUAACAUUUCUAUACAUAAAAAAUAACAACUAUAGCAUAAAGACCAGUGUUGGGAGGUAAAUGAACUUAUAUGAUUGCAAGUUUUGUUCAUUUAACAUUAAGUGGCACACCAAUAACUUUAAGGAGAUUGAAACAUUAAAAAUGUAUGUUGAAAUUCCCUAUAGCUACCACUUGAAUAACAACAACAAGGAGAGCAACAAUAAUAACACAAAAGGGACAGCUGAAAAGGUAAUAGAAAAAUUAAAAUGAAACUCUAAAAAAUAUUAAACUAACUCAAAAGCAGGAAAGGAAAAACAGA